Molecule: unclassified non-coding RNA, 363 nt
Filed under: uncultured bacterium
Lineage: Bacteria
Description: contains 16S-23S intergenic spacer region
Source: RNAcentral
UCCCUGUUACCAGGGCAGUCUAGCUAGAAAAAUACAACUAACUAUAAGGGUUGCGCUCGUUAAAGGACUUAACCUAACAUCUCACGACACGAGCUGACGACGGCCAUGCAACACCUGUCACUUGGCUCAAUAAAGCACUUUUUCCUUUCGGAGAAAUUCCAAGGAUGUCAAACCCUGGUAAGGUUCAUCGGUUAUCAUCGAAUUAAAGAACAUAAUCCGCCGCUUGUGCGGCUCCCCGUCAAUUCCUUUAUGUUUUAGUCUUGCGACCGUACUCCACAGGCGGGAUACUUAACGCGUUAGCUUCGCUACUGAAGGGGUCGAUACCUCCAACAGCUAGUAUCCAUCGUUUACGGCGUGGACUAC